This 726-nucleotide ribosomal RNA is filed under the name Enterobacter hormaechei. RNAcentral describes it as "bacterial SSU rRNA". Lineage: Bacteria; Pseudomonadati; Pseudomonadota; Gammaproteobacteria; Enterobacterales; Enterobacteriaceae. The record is from RNAcentral.
GGCCUAACACAUGCAAGUCGAACGGUAACAGGAAGCAGCUUGCUGCUUCGCUGACGAGUGGCGGACGGGUGAGUAAUGUCUGGGAAACUGCCUGAUGGAGGGGGAUAACUACUGGAAACGGUAGCUAAUACCGCAUAACGUCGCAAGACCAAAGAGGGGGACCUUCGGGCCUCUUGCCAUCGGAUGUGCCCAGAUGGGAUUAGCUAGUAGGUGGGGUAACGGCUCACCUAGGCGACGAUCCCUAGCUKGUCUGAGAGGAUGACCAGCCACACUGGAACUGAGACACGGUCCAGACUCCUACGGGAGGCAGCAGUGGGGAAUAUUGCACAAUGGGCGCAAGCCUGAUGCAGCCAUGCCGCGUGUAUGAAGAAGGCCUUCGGGUUGUAAAGUACUUUCAGCGGGGAGGAAGGCGAUAAGGUUAAUAACCUUGUCGAUUGACGUUACCCGCAGAAGAAGCACCGGCUAACUCCGUGCCAGCAGCCGCGGUAAUACGGAGGGUGCAAGCGUUAAUCGGAAUUACUGGGCGUAAAGCGCACGCAGGCGGUCUGUCAAGUCGGAUGUGAAAUCCCCGGGCUCAACCUGGGAACUGCAUUCGAAACUGGCAGGCUAGAGUCUUGUAGAGGGGGGUAGAAUUCCAGGUGUAGCGGUGAAAUGCGUAGAGAUCUGGAGGAAUACCGGUGGCGAAGGCGGCCCCCUGGACAAAGACUGACGCUUCAGGUGCGAAAG